UACGAAGGGGGCUAGCGUUGUUCGGAAUUACUGGGCGUAAAUGGCGCGUCGGCGGCGUGUCAAGUCAGGCGUGAAAGCCCCGGGCUCAACCUGGGAACCGCGCUUGAGACUGGCAUGCUCGAGUUCGGGAGAGGAUGGUGGAAUUCCCAGCGUAGAGGUGAAAUUCGUAGAUAUUGGGAAGAACACCGAUGGCGAAGGCAGCCAUCUGGACCGACACUGACGCUGAGGCGCGAAAGCGUGGGGAGCAAACAGG
This 253-nucleotide ribosomal RNA is filed under the name uncultured bacterium. RNAcentral's name for it is "partial 16S ribosomal RNA". It matches the Rfam family "Bacterial small subunit ribosomal RNA", at positions 524 to 776 of the family's 1533-position model. The record is from RNAcentral.